GAUGAACGCUGGCGGCGUGCCUAAUACAUGCAAGUCGAGCGAACAGAUGACAAGGGUGCUUCUCGGCUGUCAGCGGCGUACGGGUGAGGAAACCGUGGGCAACCCAGCGGUUAGCCUGGGAUAACUGCGGGUAACAGCGGCUAACCCCGGAUAAUAUUUUGAACCGCAUGGUACAAUGGUGUAAGACGGUACCGGCUGUCACUCACGGAUGGACCUGCGCCGUAUUAGCUAGUUGGUAAGGUAAUGGCUUACCAAGGCAACGAUACGUAGCCGAACUGAGAGGGUGAUCGGCCACACUGGAACUGAGACACGGUCCAAACUCCUACGGGAGGCAGCAGUAGGGAAUCUUCCGCAAUGGGCGAAAGCCUGACGGAGCAACGCCGCGUGAGUGAAGAAGGUCUUCGGAUCGUAAAACUCUGUUGUUAGGGAAGAACAAAUUUGAUAGUAACUGAUCAAGUCGUGACGGUACCUAGCCAGAAAGCCACGGCUAACUACGUGCCAGCCGCCGCGGUAA
RNAcentral lists this ribosomal RNA (514 nucleotides) under uncultured bacterium. Its description in RNAcentral is "partial 16S ribosomal RNA". It matches the Rfam family "Bacterial small subunit ribosomal RNA", at positions 28 to 523 of the family's 1533-position model. The record is from RNAcentral.